AUUUUUAUUUCAAGUUGUGGCUUCCCUUCAUAGGCUGUGUGAGAUCAAAGGUUACGCAUCAGCUCUAUGCUUCUAUUACAUUAUCAGCAAAAUGAGGAAUGGUGUGGAUGCAAGAAAUGCAUUACAUCUCUAAAGUUCUUCACAGAGACUAGAGUUGCAAGAAGCACUCAUUAUUUAAGCAUAAGUGGUAUCAGCGAAGAGCUGAAGUGAAUUAAUCCUCUUAUUAUUAUAAUAAGGAGCAAAUUUCAAGCCUCAAACUGGAAAGAACUCAAUACAGUAGAAUGGAUAAAUAAAUCAUUGUCACUUCUAUUGGAAUACUACAUAGAAAUGAAAAUGAACUACUGAGAUAUGUACCAAUGUGGUAAGUCAUAAUGUAUGAUUUAUACAAAGUUCAAAAACAGAUGAAACCAAUCAAUGGUGAUAGAGAUGAAGACAAUAGUCAUCCUGGGUAGGGGCCAGUAUUGAGAGGGAGAUUACACAAGUGAACCUUCUGG
This is a long non-coding RNA of Mirounga angustirostris (Northern elephant seal), 494 nucleotides long. RefSeq lists it as uncharacterized. The record is from RefSeq and is a predicted model, not a curated record. NCBI's taxonomy places the organism in Eukaryota, Metazoa, Chordata, Mammalia, Carnivora, Phocidae. The transcript has 3 exons.